UACGUAGGGUGCGAGCGUUAAUCGGAUUUACUGGGCGUAAAGCGUGCGCAGGCGGCCCGUUAAGACAGGUGUGAAAUCCCUGGGCUCAACCUAGGAAUUGCGCUUGUGACUGGCGGGCUCGAGUACGGUAGAGGGGGGUGGAAUUCCUGGUGUAGCAGUGAAAUGCGUAGAGAUCAGGAGGAACACCGAUGGCGAAGGCAGCCCCCUGGGCCUGUACUGACGCUCAUGCUCGAAAGCGUGGGUAGCAAACAGG
RNAcentral lists this ribosomal RNA (253 nucleotides) under uncultured microorganism. RNAcentral's name for it is "partial 16S ribosomal RNA". It matches the Rfam family "Bacterial small subunit ribosomal RNA", at positions 524 to 776 of the family's 1533-position model. The record is from RNAcentral.